RNAcentral lists this ribosomal RNA (252 nucleotides) under uncultured prokaryote. RNAcentral describes it as "partial 16S ribosomal RNA". It matches the Rfam family "Bacterial small subunit ribosomal RNA", at positions 525 to 775 of the family's 1533-position model. The record is from RNAcentral.
ACAGCUUCUUCCCGCGUUGUUCGGAAUUAUUGGGCGUAAAGAGCACGUAGGCGGCCUUGCAAGUCAGUUGUGAAAGCCUUCCGCUUAACGGAAGAACGGCAUCUGAAACUACAGGGCUUGAGUACGGGAGGGGAGAGUGGAACUUCUGGUGGAGCGGUGAAAUGCGUAGAUAUCAGAAGGAACGCCGGCGGCGAAAGCGACUCUCUGGUCCGAAACUGACGCUUAGUGUGCGAAAGCUAGGGUAGCAAACGG